This 2927-nucleotide ribosomal RNA is filed under the name Kosakonia sacchari SP1. RNAcentral describes it as "bacterial LSU rRNA". It matches the Rfam family "Bacterial large subunit ribosomal RNA". Lineage: Bacteria; Pseudomonadati; Pseudomonadota; Gammaproteobacteria; Enterobacterales; Enterobacteriaceae. The record is from RNAcentral.
GGGUUGUGAGGUUAAGCGACUAAGCGUACACGGUGGAUGCCCUGGCAGUCAGAGGCGAUGAAGGACGUGCUAAUCUGCGAAAAGCGCCGGUAAGGUGAUAUGAACCGUUAUAGCCGGCGAUGUCCGAAUGGGGAAACCCAGUGUGACUCGUCACACUAUCAUUAACUGAAUCCAUAGGUUAAUGAGGCGAACCGGGGGAACUGAAACAUCUAAGUACCCCGAGGAAAAGAAAUCAACCGAGAUUCCCCCAGUAGCGGCGAGCGAACGGGGAGGAGCCCAGAGUCUGAAUCAGCUUGUGUGUUAGUGGAAGCGUCUGGAAAGUCGCGCGAUACAGGGUGACAGCCCCGUACACAAAAGCACACAGGCUGUGAGCUCGAUGAGUAGGGCGGGACACGUGGUAUCCUGUCUGAAUAUGGGGGGACCAUCCUCCAAGGCUAAAUACUCCUGACUGACCGAUAGUGAACCAGUACCGUGAGGGAAAGGCGAAAAGAACCCCGGCGAGGGGAGUGAAAAAGAACCUGAAACCGUGUACGUACAAGCAGUGGGAGCCUCUUGAUGGGGUGACUGCGUACCUUUUGUAUAAUGGGUCAGCGACUUAUAUUCUGUAGCAAGGUUAACCGAAUAGGGGAGCCGAAGGGAAACCGAGUCUUAACUGGGCGUUAAGUUGCAGGGUAUAGACCCGAAACCCGGUGAUCUAGCCAUGGGCAGGUUGAAGGUUGGGUAACACUAACUGGAGGACCGAACCGACUAAUGUUGAAAAAUUAGCGGAUGACCUGUGGCUGGGGGUGAAAGGCCAAUCAAACCGGGAGAUAGCUGGUUCUCCCCGAAAGCUAUUUAGGUAGCGCCUCGUGAAUUCAUCUCCGGGGGUAGAGCACUGUUUCGGCUAGGGGGCCAUCCCGGCUUACCAACCCGAUGCAAACUACGAAUACCGGAGAAUGUUAUCACGGGAGACACACGGCGGGUGCUAACGUCCGUCGUGAAGAGGGAAACAACCCAGACCGCCAGCUAAGGUCCCAAAGUCAUGGUUAAGUGGGAAACGAUGUGGGAAGGCCCAGACAGCCAGGAUGUUGGCUUAGAAGCAGCCAUCAUUUAAAGAAAGCGUAAUAGCUCACUGGUCGAGUCGGCCUGCGCGGAAGAUGUAACGGGGCUAAACCAUGCACCGAAGCUGCGGCAGCGACACUAUGUGUUGUUGGGUAGGGGAGCGUUCUGUAAGCCUGCGAAGGUGGCCUGUGAGGGUUGCUGGAGGUAUCAGAAGUGCGAAUGCUGACAUAAGUAACGAUAAAGCGGGUGAAAAGCCCGCUCGCCGGAAGACCAAGGGUUCCUGUCCAACGUUAAUCGGGGCAGGGUGAGUCGACCCCUAAGGCGAGGCCGAAAGGCGUAGUCGAUGGGAAACAGGUUAAUAUUCCUGUACUUGGUGUUACUGCGAAGGGGGGACGGAGAAGGCUAUGUUAGCCGGGCGACGGUUGUCCCGGUUUAAGCGUGAAGGUGUGUGCUCCAGGCAAAUCCGGAGUGCUUUAACACUGAGGCGUGAUGACGAGGCACUACGGUGCUGAAGUAACAAAUGCCCUGCUUCCAGGAAAAGCCUCUAAGCUCCAGGUAACACGAAAUCGUACCCCAAACCGACACAGGUGGUCAGGUAGAGAAUACCAAGGCGCUUGAGAGAACUCGGGUGAAGGAACUAGGCAAAAUGGUGCCGUAACUUCGGGAGAAGGCACGCUGAUAUGUAGGUGAAGCGACUUGCUCGUGGAGCUGAAAUCAGUCGAAGAUACCAGCUGGCUGCAACUGUUUAUUAAAAACACAGCACUGUGCAAACACGAAAGUGGACGUAUACGGUGUGACGCCUGCCCGGUGCCGGAAGGUUAAUUGAUGGGGUCAUCCGUAAGGAGAAGCUCUUGAUCGAAGCCCCGGUAAACGGCGGCCGUAACUAUAACGGUCCUAAGGUAGCGAAAUUCCUUGUCGGGUAAGUUCCGACCUGCACGAAUGGCGUAAUGAUGGCCAGGCUGUCUCCACCCGAGACUCAGUGAAAUUGAACUCGCUGUGAAGAUGCAGUGUACCCGCGGCAAGACGGAAAGACCCCGUGAACCUUUACUAUAGCUUGACACUGAACACUGGUCCUUGAUGUGUAGGAUAGGUGGGAGGCUUUGAAGCGUGGACGCCAGUCUGCGUGGAGCCAUCCUUGAAAUACCACCCUUUAAUGGCUGGUGUUCUAACGUGGACCCGUAAUCCGGGUUGCGGACAGUGUCUGGUGGGUAGUUUGACUGGGGCGGUCUCCUCCUAAAGCGUAACGGAGGAGCACGAAGGUCAGCUAAUCCUGGUCGGACAUCAGGAGGUUAGUGCAAUGGCAUAAGCUGGCUUGACUGCGAGCGUGACGGCGCGAGCAGGUGCGAAAGCAGGUCAUAGUGAUCCGGUGGUUCUGAAUGGAAGGGCCAUCGCUCAACGGAUAAAAGGUACUCCGGGGAUAACAGGCUGAUACCGCCCAAGAGUUCAUAUCGACGGCGGUGUUUGGCACCUCGAUGUCGGCUCAUCACAUCCUGGGGCUGAAGUAGGUCCCAAGGGUAUGGCUGUUCGCCAUUUAAAGUGGUACGCGAGCUGGGUUUAGAACGUCGUGAGACAGUUCGGUCCCUAUCUGCCGUGGGCGCUGGAGAAUUGAGGGGGGCUGCUCCUAGUACGAGAGGACCGGAGUGGACGCAUCACUGGUGUUCGGGUUGUCAUGCCAAUGGCACUGCCCGGUAGCUAAAUGCGGAAGAGAUAAGUGCUGAAAGCAUCUAAGCACGAAACUUGCCCCGAGAUGAGUUCUCCCUGAGCCUUUAAGUCUCCUGAAGGAACGUUGAAGACGACGACGUUGAUAGGCCGGGUGUGUAAGCGCAGCGAUGCGUUGAGCUAACCGGUACUAAUGAACCGUGAGGCUUAACCUUACAACGCCGAAG